RNAcentral lists this long non-coding RNA (339 nucleotides) under Coffea arabica (coffee). Its description in RNAcentral is "long non-coding RNA (CARA_LNC005038)". The record is from RNAcentral. Lineage: Eukaryota; Viridiplantae; Streptophyta; Magnoliopsida; Gentianales; Rubiaceae.
ACUGCUUGAUUAAACAUUUCAUUGCUAAAAGAGCGCAUUAAUAUGGUUCUUAUAUUUUUCAUAUAAUUAAGGCAUGUUCUGUUUUUAUCUACAGGUCAAUGCAUGCAUAAUUGAUUAUUUCGUGAAUAUUUUCCUUGUGGAAUGGGAUCGGAGAUUGAAGGGAUUAUGUUCAAUAAUGACAUUCCAAAGAUCAGCCCUGGACUUCAAGUUUAUAAAAAGUGUCCGAUUUCAAAUGCCAUAGUAAGACUCAUUCCAUUAAAAUGUCAAACUGCUGAACUGAAGAUCCAGUAGGUGUGGAAGCCCCCUUGCCACGUAGGUAUCGUCGUCCUCCACGUGGCG